CGACCAUAUGCUUGAAUUUAAAUGCUAUACAAAACUGCUAAUGUUUAAGCAAUACAUUAGAUAAAACUCAAGAUAUUGAAAAUAAAAAUUUGACUCAAGUCCGUUCUCAGUUUAUGGUCUUGGGGCGAGGACUUGGUGGAAACAACUGGACGAGCAAGGCUAAUGGAUGCUGAUCUUCCAAGAUGUGGAAACAGCAGCUGGAACCUACACAGGACUUGGUGGAAACAACUGGAGGAGACAAGCCUGAUGGAUGUUAACCCCCCCCCCCUUUCAAGACGUAUCACAGAAGAUAACUGACACUGAUCAGUUUGAAGAUUUGAAGACCAUUCAAAGUACUGGGAAUUAAGCAGAUCUCAUUUUGGCUUGGUUUGCUUGAUGACAUUAUGAAGAAUGGGGACCAUUCAGGUUGAAGAGGUGACUUCUAAGAAUGGUGUGGAUGAAGUUUUUCUUCAACAUCGUGAAAAAAAGAAGCCUAAUAGGAAUUGGUGGAAAAAUGUAACUGGUUGAAAAUACAAUGUUGAUGGACAUUGACCCUCUAAGAUGUGGAAAUGAGCAGCUACAGCCACACAGGACU
Molecule: long non-coding RNA, 574 nt
Organism: Saccostrea echinata
Lineage: Eukaryota; Metazoa; Mollusca; Bivalvia; Ostreida; Ostreidae
Exons: 3
Source: RefSeq, a predicted model, not a curated record